CAAGUCGAGGGGCAGCAUGGUCUUAGCUUGCUAAGGCCGAUGGCGACCGGCGCACGGGUGAGUAACGCGUAUCCAACCUGCCUUACACUCUUGGACAGCCUUCUGAAAGGGAGAUUAAUACAAGAUGUUAUCAUGAGUAAGCAUUUUCGCAUGAUUAAAGGUUUACCGGUGUAAGAUGGGGAUGCGUUCCAUUAGAUAGUAGGCGGGGUAACGGCCCACCUAGUCUUCGAUGGAUAGGGGUUCUGAGAGGAAGGUCCCCCACAUUGGAACUGAGACACGGUCCAAACUCCUACGGGAGGCAGCAGUGAGGAAUAUUGGUCGAUGGACGAGAGUCUGAACCAGCCAAGUAGCGUGAAGGAUGAAGGUUCUAUGGAUUGUAAACUUCUUUUAUACGGGAAUAAACGGAUCCACGUGUGGAUUUUUGCAUGUACCGUAUGAAUAAGGAUCGGCUAACUCCGUGCCAGCAGCCGCGGUAAUACGGAGGAUCCGAGCGUUAUCCGGAUUUAUUGGGUUUAAAGGGAGCGUAGAUGGGUUGUUAAGUCAGUUGUGAAAGUUUGCGGCUCAACCGUAAAAUUGCAAUUGAUACUGGCAGUCUUGAGUACAGUUGAGGUAGGCGGAAUUCGUGGUGUAGCGGUGAAAUGCUUAGAUAUCACGAAGAACUCCGAUUGCGAAGGCAGCUUACUAACCUGUAACUGACAUUGAUGCUCGAAAGUGUGGGUAUCAAACAGGAUUAGAUACCCUGGUAGUCCACACGGUAAACGAUGAAUACUCGCUGUAGGCGAUAUACAGUCUGCGGCCAAGCGAAAGCAUUAAGUAUUCCACCUGGGGAGUACGCCGGCGACGGUGAAACUCAAAGGAAUUGACGGGGG
RNAcentral lists this ribosomal RNA (869 nucleotides) under uncultured bacterium. RNAcentral's name for it is "bacterial SSU rRNA". It matches the Rfam family "Bacterial small subunit ribosomal RNA", at positions 58 to 919 of the family's 1533-position model. The record is from RNAcentral.